AUGAACCACUUCGGUGGGGAUUAGUGGCGAACGGGUGAGUAACACGUGGGCAAUCUGCCCUGCACUCUGGGACAAGCCCUGGAAACGGGGUCUAAUACCGGAUACGACCAUCUUGGGCAUCCUUGAUGGUGGAAAGCUCCGGCGGUGCAGGAUGAGCCCGCGGCCUAUCAGCUUGUUGGUGAGGUAAUGGCUCACCAAGGCGACGACGGGUAGCCGGCCUGAGAGGGCGACCGGCCACACUGGGACUGAGACACGGCCCAGACUCCUACGGGAGGCAGCAGUGGGGAAUAUUGCACAAUGGGCGAAAGCCUGAUGCAGCGACGCCGCGUGAGGGAUGACGGCCUUCGGGUUGUAAACCUCUUUCAGCAGGGAAGAAGCGAAAGUGACGGUACCUGCAGAAGAAGCGCCGGCUAACUACGUGCCAGCAGCCGCGGUAAUACGUAGGGCGCAAGCGUUGUCCGGAAUUAUUGGGCGUAAAGAGCUCGUAGGCGGCUUGUCACGUCGGUUGUGAAAGCCCGGGGCUUAACCCCGGGUCUGCAGUCGAUACGGGCAGGCUAGAGUUCGGUAGGGGAGAUCGGAAUUCCUGGUGUAGCGGUGAAAUGCGCAGAUAUCAGGAGGAACACCGGUGGCGAAGGCGGAUCUCUGGGCCGAUACUGACGCUGAGGAGCGAAAGCGUGGGGAGCGAACAGGAUUAGAUACCCUGGUAGUCCACGCCGUAAACGGUGGGCACUAGGUGUGGGCAACAUUCCACGUUGUCCGUGCCGCA
RNAcentral lists this ribosomal RNA (766 nucleotides) under bacterium. RNAcentral's name for it is "bacterial SSU rRNA". It matches the Rfam family "Bacterial small subunit ribosomal RNA", at positions 69 to 850 of the family's 1533-position model. The record is from RNAcentral.